This 625-nucleotide long non-coding RNA is filed under the name Brassica rapa (field mustard). RNAcentral's name for it is "long non-coding RNA (BRAP_LNC004280)". Lineage: Eukaryota; Viridiplantae; Streptophyta; Magnoliopsida; Brassicales; Brassicaceae. The record is from RNAcentral.
CAAUGUUUAGAAUACGUGAUCUACAUAAAUAGGAGUAUUCUAAAAAUAUUUAGAAUACACAUUCCGCGCUUAACCUAUCGUUCUAAAAUCUUUAGAAAUCAAAAUCUACACAUUAAUAUAAAUCUAAAACACGUAGAAACCGACUUCUACAGAUUUACUAUAAAUCUAAAACAUGUAGAAAUCAAAAUCUAAACAUUACUAUAAUUCUAAAAAACUGUAGAAACCGAUUUCUACAUAUUAGUUGUAUUCUACGGAUAAGAAAUCAGUUCCUAAAAAUAUGGAAACAAAAUAUUUAGGAAUAUUCACUUUUAUAUUUUGAAAAAAAAAAUUGAUUUUUUUAAAAAAAAUAAAAAAAACGAACAAAAAAAAAAAAAAAAAAAAGGAAUAAAAAAAUUACAAUUUUAAGGGCAUUACUGCCAUUUUUAAAAAAAUUAGUCUAAUGGGACAUAAAGUAGUAUAGAUUAGUAUAAAGGGACAUAGUUACCAUUUUUUUGCUCUAAAAAAACAAUUUUCCCUAAUUUCUUUUCGAUUUAACGUCCUCAUUUCUCGGUUGGAACUACCCAGUCUCUACUCACAAAUCAAUUAAAAGGAAUAGCAUUUGGAAACUCAGUUAAAAGAGGUGUGC